RNAcentral lists this ribosomal RNA (478 nucleotides) under uncultured bacterium. Its description in RNAcentral is "partial 16S ribosomal RNA". It matches the Rfam family "Bacterial small subunit ribosomal RNA", at positions 28 to 507 of the family's 1533-position model. The record is from RNAcentral.
GAUGAACGCUGGCGGCGUGCCUAACACAUGCAAGUCGAACGAGAAGUGAAUACGGACGCCUUCUGCCGGAUGGCUUUUUUUUGACUGGCGGAUGAGUGACUAACGCGUAGGUAACCUGCCUCAUACAGGUGGAUAACAGUAGGAAACGACAGUUAAUACCGCAUAUGAUUACAGCACCGCAUGUUGCGGGGAUAAAAACUCCGAUCGCAUGAGAUGGAGCCGCGUUUGAAUUGGCGGGUGGCGGGGUAACGGCCCACCAAAGCGACGAUCGCUAACCGAUAUGAGAGGAUGGCCCACCACAUUGGGGCUGGGACACGGCCGGAACUCCUGGGAAAGGCAGCAGUGGGGAAUAUUGCACGAUGGGGGAAGGCAUGAUGCAGCGGCGCCGCGUAAGUGAAGAAGUAGUUCAGUAUGUGAAGCACUGUCAGAAGGGAAGACUAUGACGGUACCUGAGUAAGAAGCCCCGGCUAACUACGUG